CCCUUAGAUGUUCUGGGCCGCACGCGCGCUACACUGUUCGACGCAGCGAGUCUUAACCUUGACCGAAAGGUUUGGGUAAUCUUCAGCAAAGUCGAACGUGAUGGGGAUCGAUCAUUGCAAUUAUUGAUCGUGAACGAGGAAUUCCUAGUAAGUGCAGGUCAUCAGCUUGCGCUGAUUACGUCCCUGCCCUUUGUACACACCGCCCGUCGCUACUACCGAUUGAAUGGUUUAGUGAGAUCUCUGGAUUGACGCUGGCUAGGGGGCGACCCUUGGCCAGACUGCUCGAGAAACUGCUCAAACUUGAUCAUUUAGAGGAAGUAAAAGUCGUAACA
This 332-nucleotide ribosomal RNA is filed under the name uncultured eukaryote. Its description in RNAcentral is "partial 18S ribosomal RNA". It matches the Rfam family "Eukaryotic small subunit ribosomal RNA", at positions 1470 to 1796 of the family's 1831-position model. The record is from RNAcentral.